UACGAAGGGGGCUAGCGUUGUUCGGAAUUACUGGGCGUAAAGCGCACGUAGGCGGCUUUCUAAGUCGGGGGUGAAAUCCUGGAGCUCAACUCCAGAACUGCCUUCGAUACUGGAGAGCUUGAGUCCGGGAGAGGUGAGUGGAACUGCGAGUGUAGAGGUGAAAUUCGUAGAUAUUCGCAAGAACACCAGUGGCGAAGGCGGCUCUCUGGACCACUACUGACGCUGAGGCGCGAAAAGCGUGGGGAGCGAACGAGG
Molecule: ribosomal RNA, 255 nt
Filed under: uncultured bacterium
Lineage: Bacteria
Description: partial 16S ribosomal RNA
Rfam family: Bacterial small subunit ribosomal RNA
Source: RNAcentral